CCUUCGGGGAAAUGGAGGAGCGGCGCAAGGGAGAGUAACGCGUGGAUACCUGCCCCGAGGUCCGGGAUAGCCCAUCGAAAGGUGGGGUAAUACCGGAUAACAUCUCCGGAUCAAAGGUGUGAUUCCGCCUCGGGAUGGGUCCGCGUCCUAUUAGCUUGUUGGUGGGGUAAUGGCCUACCAAGGCGACGAUGGGUAGUGGGCGUUAGCGCGUGGCCCGCCUCACUGGGACUGAGACACUGCCCAGACACCUACGGGUGGCUGCAGUCGAGAAUCUUCGGCAAUGGGCGCAAGCCUGACCGAGCGACGCCGCGUGCGGGAUGAAGGCCUUCGGGUUGUAAACCGCUGUCAGAGGGGAGGAAGGGUCCGUGAAGAGCGGAACUUGACCUAUCCUCAGAGGAAGUGCGGGCUAAGUUCGUGCCAGCAGCCGCGGUAAGACGAACCGCACAAACGUUAUUCGGAAUCACUGGGCUUACAGGGUGCGUAGGCGGCCGUUCAAGUCGGGUGUGACAGCCCUCAGCUUAACUGAGGAAUUGCGCCCGAUACUGUUCGGCUUGAGGGAGACAGAGGUGAGCGGAACUUGCGGUGGGACGGUGACAAUGCGUAGAUAAUCGCAAGGAACACCAGUAGCGAAAGCGGGUCAGUGGGUCUCUUCUGACGCCUGAGGCACGAAAGCUAGGGUAAGCGACGAGGAUUAGAUAGCCGUCGUAGUCCUAGCUUGUAAACGCUGAGCACUGGAUUGGAGGGUCCUACCAUACACUUCCGGUCGUAGCGAAAGUGUUAAGUGCUCCGCCUGGGGAGUAUGGUCUCAAGGCUGAAACUCAAAGGAAUUGACGGGGGCUCACACAAUCGGUGGAGGAUGUGGCUUAAUUCGAGGCUACGCGAAGAACCUUAUCCUGGAUUUGACAUGCUUGGGAAUCCCCUGGAUACAGGGGAGUGCCUUUCGGGGAGCCCUUGCACAGGUGCUGCAUGGCUGUCGUCAGCUCGUGUCGUGAGAUGUCGGGUUAAGUCCCUUAACGAGCGAAACCCUUGUCGUUAGUUGCCAGCGGGUCAUGCCGGGGACUCUAACGAGACUGCCGGUGUUAAACCGGAGGACGCUGGGGAUCACGUCAAGUCCUCAUGGCCUUUAUGUCCAGGGCUGCACACGUCCUACAAUGGCGUGCACAAAGGGAAGCGAACUCGCGAGAGUAAGCAAAUCCCAAAAAUCACGCCCCAGUUCGAAUUGCAGGCUGCAACUCGCCUGCAUGAAGCCGGAAUCGCUAGUAAUCGCGGGUCAGCAUACCACGCCCAAUGUGUUCCUGAGCCUUGUACACACCGCCCGUCAAGCCACGAAAGUGG
This 1335-nucleotide ribosomal RNA is filed under the name uncultured organism. RNAcentral's name for it is "bacterial SSU rRNA". It matches the Rfam family "Bacterial small subunit ribosomal RNA", at positions 77 to 1413 of the family's 1533-position model. The record is from RNAcentral.